CUGCAUGUGGAAAUGUCUGCUUCUCCUUCCUUUGGGAGCAGGAAUACAUCCAUAACAUGCUACAUCAAAAAGAAGUUCACAGGGCUGCCAACCUUACACUAGAGGAUGAGUGAUAAUAUAUUUCUCCUACAUAA
Molecule: small nucleolar RNA, 134 nt
Organism: Cynocephalus volans (Philippine flying lemur)
Lineage: Eukaryota; Metazoa; Chordata; Mammalia; Dermoptera; Cynocephalidae
Product: small nucleolar RNA U109
Exons: 1
Source: RefSeq, a predicted model, not a curated record